This 153-nucleotide ribosomal RNA is filed under the name Leptodontidium sp. ZW0901-8. RNAcentral describes it as "5.8S ribosomal RNA". It matches the Rfam family "5.8S ribosomal RNA", at positions 1 to 138 of the family's 154-position model. Rfam says of the family: 5.8S ribosomal RNA (5.8S rRNA) is a component of the large subunit of the eukaryotic ribosome. It is transcribed by RNA polymerase I as part of the 45S precursor that also contains 18S and 28S rRNA. Lineage: Eukaryota; Fungi; Ascomycota; Leotiomycetes; Helotiales; Leptodontidiaceae. The record is from RNAcentral.
CUAUUUAAUAGUUAAAACUUUCAACAACGGAUCUCUUGGUUCUGGCAUCGAUGAAGAACGCAGCGAAAUGCGAUAAGUAAUGUGAAUUGCAGAAUUCAGUGAAUCAUCGAAUCUUUGAACGCACAUUGCGCCCUCUGGUAUUCCGGGGGGCAU